UACAGAGGUCUCAAGCGUUGUUCGGAUUCAUUGGGCGUAAAGGGCGCGUAGGCGGCCUGAUAAGUCGGGGGUGAAAUCCUGCGGCUUAACCGCAGGGCUGCCUUCUAAACUGUCAGGCUCGAGCACAGUAGAGGCAGGUGGAAUUCCCGGUGUAGCGGUGGAAUGCGUAGAGAUCGGGAGGAACAUCAGUGGCGAAGGCGGCCUGCUGGGCUGUUGCUGACGCUGAGGCGCGACAGCGUGGGGAGCAAACAGG
Molecule: ribosomal RNA, 253 nt
Filed under: uncultured bacterium
Lineage: Bacteria
Description: partial 16S ribosomal RNA
Rfam family: Bacterial small subunit ribosomal RNA
Source: RNAcentral